GUAGGGAAUAUUGGGCAAUGGAUGCAAGUCUGACCCAGCCAUCCCGCGUGCCGGAAGAAGGCCCUCAGGGUUGUAAACGGCUUUUGACGGUGAAGAAUCGACAGGAUGCGUCCUGUUUUGACGGUAGCCGUUGAAUAAGCACCGGCUAACUCCGUGCCAGCAGCCGCGGUAAUACGGAGGGUGCGAGCGUUGUCCGGAUUUAUCGGGUUUAAAGUGUGCUGAGGCUGGAAGGUCAGUCAGCGGUGAAAAGCUGUCGCUUAACGAUAGUCUUGCCGCAGAUACUUCCUUUCUUGGAUGAGGAGGAGGCCACUGGAACGGAUGGUGUAGCGGUGAAAUGCAUAGAUAUCAUCCAGAACACCGAUUGCGAAGGCAGGUGGCUGUACCUUAAUCGACGCUGAUGCACGAAAGCAUGGGGAGCAAACAGGAUUAGAAACCCGGGUAGUCC
RNAcentral lists this ribosomal RNA (445 nucleotides) under uncultured bacterium. RNAcentral's name for it is "partial 16S ribosomal RNA". It matches the Rfam family "Bacterial small subunit ribosomal RNA", at positions 354 to 796 of the family's 1533-position model. The record is from RNAcentral.